RNAcentral lists this ribosomal RNA (1561 nucleotides) under Hylobates muelleri (Mueller's Borneo gibbon). Its description in RNAcentral is "16S ribosomal RNA". It matches the Rfam family "Bacterial large subunit ribosomal RNA", at positions 426 to 2925 of the family's 2925-position model. Lineage: Eukaryota; Metazoa; Chordata; Mammalia; Primates; Hylobatidae. The record is from RNAcentral.
GCUAACCCUAGCCCCAAAUUACCCUGACCCUACUAUCAAAUAACAUCAACCAAACCAUUUACCCGUACAAAGUAUAGGCGAUAGAAAUUACUAACCUGGCGCAAUAGACACAGUACCGCAAGGGAAAGAUGAAAAAACAUAACCAAGCACAAAACAGCAAAGAUGAGCCCCUGUACCUUCUGCAUAAUGAAUUAACUAGACACAGCUUAGCAAGGAGACCCAAAGCUAAAAACCCCGAAACCAGACGAGCUACCUAAGAACCGCUGAAAGAGCACACCCGUCUAUGUAGCAAAAUAGUGGGAAGAUUCAUAGGUAGAGGUGACAAGCCUACCGAGCCUGGCGAUAGCUGGUUGUCCAAGAUAGAAUCUUAGUUCAACUUUAAAUUUACCCAUAGAAUUCCUAAAUCUUCUUGUAAAUUUAACUGUUAGUCUAAAGAGGAACAGCUCUUUAGACACUAGGAAAAAACCUUGUAAAGAGAGUAAAAAGUGUAAACCCCAUAGUUGGCCUAAAAGCAGCCACCAAUUAAGAAAGCGUUCAAGCUCAACACCAUCCACCCAAUAAAUCCCAAACACACAACUGAACUCCUUCCACCACAUUGGACCAAUCUAUCACUCUAUAGAAGAAAUAAUGUUAAUAUAAGUAACAUGAAAAAAACAUUCUCCUCCGCAUAAACCUAUGUCAGACCAAAAAACUUCACUGACAGUUAACAGCCCAAUAUCUAAAACCAACUGAUAAACCAUUAUUAUCCCCACUGUCAACCCAACAUAGGCAUGCCCACAAGGAAAGGUUAAAAAAAGUAAAAGGAACUCGGCAAACACUACCCCGCCUGUUUACCAAAAACAUCACCUCUAGCAUUACCAGUAUUAGAGGCACCGCCUGCCCAGUGACACAUGUUCAACGGCCGCGGUACCCUAACCGUGCAAAGGUAGCAUAAUCACUUGUUCCUUAAAUGGGGACUUGUAUGAAUGGCCCCACGAGGGUUCAGCUGUCUCUUACUUUCAACCAGUGAAAUUGACCUGUCCGUGAAGAGGCGGACAUAACCUAACAAGACGAGAAGACCCUAUGGAGCUUUAGUCUAUCAAUGCAAACAACAUUCAACAAACCAACAGGCUACAAACUACCAAACCUGCAUCGAAGACUUCGGUUGGGGCGACCUCGGAGCACAAACUAACCUCCGAGCAGUAUGUGCCAAGACCACACCAGUCAAAACGAAAUUCCAUGUGCAAUUGACCCAAUAAUUUGAUCAACGGAACAAGUUACCCUAGGGAUAACAGCGCAAUCCUAUUCUAGAGUCCAUAUCAACAAUAGGGUUUACGACCUCGAUGUUGGAUCAGGACAUCCCGAUGGUGCAGCCGCUAUCAAAGGUUCGUUUGUUCAACGAUUAAAGUCCUACGUGAUCUGAGUUCAGACCGGAGUAAUCCAGGUCGGUUUCUAUCUGUUCUACAUUUCUCCCUGUACGAAAGGACAAGAGAAAUAGGGCCCACUUCACAAAGCGCCCUCCCCCCUUAGAUGAUAUUAUCUCAAUCUACAACAUACCCAAACCCGCUCAAGAACAGAGCCU